RNAcentral lists this ribosomal RNA (620 nucleotides) under uncultured bacterium. RNAcentral's name for it is "bacterial SSU rRNA". It matches the Rfam family "Bacterial small subunit ribosomal RNA", at positions 61 to 680 of the family's 1533-position model. The record is from RNAcentral.
GUCGAGCGAGAAGCUACCUUCGGGUAGUGGACAGCGGCGCACGGGUGAGUAACGCGUACACAAUCUACCUUAUAGAGGAGAAUAGCCCUGGGAAACUGGGAUUAAUGCUCCAUAGUAUUACACUUUGGCAUCAAGGUGUAAUUAAAGCUCCGGCGCUAUAAGAUGAGUGUGCGUACUAUUAGCUAGUUGGUAAGGUAACGGCUUACCAAGGCUACGAUAGUUAGGGGGCGUGAGAGCGUGACCCCCCACACGGGUACUGAGACACGGACCCGACUCCUACGGGAGGCAGCAGUAAGGAAUAUUGGACAAUGGGCGCAAGCCUGAUCCAGCCAUCCCGCGUGGAGGAUGACUGCCCUAUGGGUUGUAAACUCCUUUUAUUUGAGAAGAAACGCCUGGAUUUAUCCGGGCCUGACGGUAUCUUAUGAAUAAGCACCGGCUAACUCCGUGCCAGCAGCCGCGGUAAUACGGAGGGUGCAAGCGUUAUCCGGAAUCACUGGGUUUAAAGGGUGCGUAGGUGGUUUAGUAAGUCAGAUGUGAAAGCCCGGCGCUCAACGUCGGAAUUGCAUUUGAUACUGCUGAACUUGAAUCAGGUUGAGGUGGGCGGAAUGUGGCAUGUAGCG